CCAUGUAGGAUAUGAGAAGGUGGCAGUCUAUAACCUGGAAGAGGAGGACCCUCACCAGAACCUCACCAUGUCGGCACCCUGAUCUCAGGUUUCCAGCCCCCAGAAGCGUGAGAGGAACACGACUGUAAAGCCAAUGGGUGCAACGGCUAUCCUGCAACUAUGUAGAUGCAAGAAGGAUAAAUGAUCAGUGAUAAAGGACUCAAUUCGAAGGAGAAUGCGUGGAAAUAAGGGCGUGGCUUUAAGGCCGCUGUGUAUAGUCACGUGGGUUGUGUGUUGCACAAUUCUAGGAGGAUCACCAUAAUAGACUGUGACAUGGUUAAGCUGUGGCCCUAGUCCCGCCUCUCGUCUGGCCUCUGAAAGGAAGAAAGUGAAGGGAAUGGCAGCAAGCCCUGAAUUCUGUGAAUUGUGAAUUCUCCCAAAUCUCUCUAGAAACCAAAUUGUUUCCA
Molecule: long non-coding RNA, 446 nt
Organism: Sapajus apella (tufted capuchin)
Lineage: Eukaryota; Metazoa; Chordata; Mammalia; Primates; Cebidae
Exons: 2
Source: RefSeq, a predicted model, not a curated record